This 253-nucleotide ribosomal RNA is filed under the name uncultured bacterium. Its description in RNAcentral is "partial 16S ribosomal RNA". It matches the Rfam family "Bacterial small subunit ribosomal RNA", at positions 524 to 776 of the family's 1533-position model. The record is from RNAcentral.
UACAGAGGUCCCAAGCGUUGUUCGGAUUCACUGGGCGUAAAGGGUGCGUAGGCGGUCGGGUAAGUCUGAUGUGAAAUCUCACAGCUUAACUGUGAAACUGCAUUGGAUACUAUCCGGCUCGAGGAAUGGAGGGGAGACUGGAAUACUUGGUGUAGCAGUGAAAUGCGUAGAUAUCAAGUGGAACACCAGUGGCGAAGGCGAGUCUCUGGACAUUUCCUGACACUGAGGCACGAAAGCCAGGGGAGCGAACGGG